UACGUAGGGUGCGAGCGUUAAUCGGAAUUACUGGGCGUAAAGCGUGCGCAGGCGGUUUUGUAAGCCAGAUGUGAAAGCCCCGGGCUUAACCUGGGAAUGGCAUUUGGGACUGCAAGGCUUGAGUGCGGCAGAGGAGACUGGAAUUCCUGGUGUAGCAGUGAAAUGCGUAGAUAUCAGGAGGAAUACCGAUGGCGAAGGCGGCUCUCUGGGACGGUACUGACGCUGAGACGCGAAAGCGUGGGGAGCGAACAGG
RNAcentral lists this ribosomal RNA (253 nucleotides) under uncultured bacterium. RNAcentral describes it as "partial 16S ribosomal RNA". It matches the Rfam family "Bacterial small subunit ribosomal RNA", at positions 524 to 776 of the family's 1533-position model. The record is from RNAcentral.